AGUUGAAAUUGGUGAUGGUGAUGAUGGGGCUCACAUGAAAUGAUGUUUACGAAGUUUUGUUUUGUUGUAUCGAGAUAUGUAAUUUUUUUUUUUGCGGGUCCCACCAAUAUGAUUUUGCACCCAAAAAGCUUUUGGCCUUUAUUGUCUUCACGUGGGCUGAAUUAGGGUGUUUUUAAGUUAUGUCAGAUGGAGAUUUGAACUUAAACAAAUGUAAAGAUAAGGUAAUAAUGUGGUGGGAUCCACUGAUUGAUAUUUGGAGUAAAGUUUGUGGUGUUAUGCUUUAUGCACGUGGGUUGUUAGCAGAUUUUGUGUGAAAUUAGUGCCCUGCCUAUAUAUUUAGUGUUUAAGACUUUGGUAAGAGAACAAAGAAGAGAAAAAUUAGAGAAGAUUGAGAGAGGGCCGAGAUUGAGGAUACAGAGUGAGUUGAGAGAGAGACGGAGAGGAGCCGAGAGUUGCAGAGAGGUCCGAGAGUCUACAGAGGAGGUCUUGGAGCUUGAGGUUAUGAUGAUCUAGUGAGGAAAUUUUUUUUUCAAAGGCCGGGAAAGAAAAUAGUGGAUGCUAAACCCUCUCAAGCAUGAAGAGAACUAAAGAUCUAUUUUGAUACAUUUUGUGUUUUGGUUAAAUUUUUGUAAAGUUUCAAAUUAUGGAAAAGAGUAUUAAUUUAUUUUAUCAUGGCCAUGUAACAUAACUAAGGUACUUGACUAUUUUUUUGGAUGUAAAUUGAGACUAUGUAAAUGCUUAAGUUGAAUGGGAUGACGAUGAUGGGCCAA
This is a long non-coding RNA of Cornus florida, 770 nucleotides long. RefSeq lists it as uncharacterized. The transcript is spliced from 2 exons. Lineage: Eukaryota; Viridiplantae; Streptophyta; Magnoliopsida; Cornales; Cornaceae. The record is from RefSeq and is a predicted model, not a curated record.